Hermetia illucens (black soldier fly) is the source of this 817-nucleotide long non-coding RNA. RefSeq lists it as uncharacterized. NCBI's taxonomy places the organism in Eukaryota, Metazoa, Arthropoda, Insecta, Diptera, Stratiomyidae. The record is from RefSeq and is a predicted model, not a curated record. The transcript has 2 exons.
UGUUGUCUUAUCAGUUCCAGAGCAUGCGAAUUUACAUCAUAUAUAAAGGAGAUUUGUUUUCUAUACGUAUCACACCCUCCUUGAUUGCAGACAGAUACCAGGUUGGGAAGCGAAACAAUCGACAAUAUUUGUUUUUAAACGGCAAUAUGGUGUGCGCUUCUACGUAAAUUACUUAAUUUCUGACAAACCUUUAUUGAAAUCGAAAUCAUAAACAAUUAGAUGUUGAAAUGGGUGUACAACACACAAGUGGAGUGGCAAAAUGUUGUCCCCGCAGUUGAGCUUGCAUUGUAUUUCUAGUGGUUAGCUGGCUAUCUACGCAAACUGUGUCCCGAAAAACGCGGCGGAUAGAAGAAUUCUAAGUGACAGAGAUAAGAUACUAUCGAUAGUAUUGUUUCCAAAUUAUCCGUUAACCUAUACACCCACGGGCAAUAGCAAGCUUUAAUAUAUCUAUUGACAUUCACUUUAUGGAGUCAUGUUAAACUCAUCAAUAAUACGUACUUGAAAAUGAUAACGAUAAAUUCAAUAAAAUUAUUCAAUAGUGCGUUAAUUUUCUUAGGUAAAUUGUUUGCUUAUCGCAGAUCAGAUAUGUUAUCGUGACAAAACGCAUUAUCCUUUUCUUAAUUCAUAUAUGUAUUAUUGUUAAUUAAGCGUCAGUUUUAAUCAGUUUUUUGAGUUUCAUAUCUUCCACUUCACUUAGAAUACUCAAGAAAAAUUGACACCAUUCACAGCAGAUAUCACUUCACAGGGACAGCAUGUUUAAGGAGUUCACCACCACUUUUCGCUUGCGGUCAUUAUUAACACCUUAUAUACUUGCUUA